UCAUCUUGGCAGGGUGCAAUGUGGUGUUCGGGAGGGUCCAUUCGUGCCUUGAGCUCUGGUGUCCAAGUCCCCCUGACCGGGGCCAUCGCCCGUUGAGGGUGCAAGGCCUGUUGGGCAGGGCUGUGUCUCCGAUCUCGGCACGUUGGGUCCCUUCCUUGGAGUCGGGUUGCUUGAGAGUGCAGCCCAAAGUGGGUGGUAAACUCCACCUAAGGCUAAAUACUUUCCACGAGACCGAUAGCAAACAAGUACCGUGAGGGAAAGUUGCAAAGAACUUUGAAGAGAGAGUUCAAGAGUGCGUGAAACCGUUCGGAGGUAAACGGGUGGGAGCGCGAAGGUCGAACGGACGGGGAGGGAUUCAACUUGGCGUGGUGGCUGGCCCGGCUGGUUCGCGUCUGGGCGUGCCGUCCUCCCUUUGCGGGGAGGUCUCGGUCGUCCCGCGUUCUGCCGCUGGCCGUAGUCCGCCGUGCCUUGUGCAUUUCCCUAUUCCCCCUCUCCUAGUAGGACGCCGCGACCGGCUGUCGAGGGGAGCCCAGGAGCUGGUUGGAGCAGUUGCGCGGACGAGUAAGGGAUUCGUUCUCUGCGUCCGGUCUGUCUGUCUCCUUCCGCCCGCGGGUCGCUCCCUCCGGCCGAGGAACUGUGCGAGCUGGGCCCUUGUGGUCCCUCGUCCAUGUGCGUGCCCACGAUCUGUCGGUGCGGGUCGAAAGAACCCAACGGGUGGCGGCGGGUGGCCGCGCGCCAGUCUCAGGACUGCGCGUGCGGACUCCGCGCGUCAGCCGCCGUCGGUCAGGGUGCGGACUCCCGCAGUUGGGCGCUGGGGGUCGGCGGCGAGUAGGUCGGUUUCCCACCCGACCCGUCUUGAAACACGGACCAAGAAGUCUAACGUGUGGGCGAGUCUUCGGGGACAUUUUGAACCCUUAGAAGGCGAAAUAAAAGUGAAGGCUGAGUCGUUCCCCCGCUUGUGUGGCGCGCUUCGGUGCAAGACCUCGUGGGGUGAGCGGCUCGCCCGAGUGGGAUCCCCCGUCUGAUGGCGGGGGCGCACCACU
RNAcentral lists this ribosomal RNA (1043 nucleotides) under Tubaphe levii. RNAcentral describes it as "partial large subunit ribosomal RNA". It matches the Rfam family "Eukaryotic large subunit ribosomal RNA", at positions 125 to 762 of the family's 3401-position model. The record is from RNAcentral. Lineage: Eukaryota; Metazoa; Arthropoda; Diplopoda; Polydesmida; Xystodesmidae.